This 286-nucleotide ribosomal RNA is filed under the name uncultured bacterium. RNAcentral describes it as "partial 16S ribosomal RNA". It matches the Rfam family "Bacterial small subunit ribosomal RNA", at positions 337 to 637 of the family's 1533-position model. The record is from RNAcentral.
UCCUACGGGGGGCAGCAGUGGGGGAUAUUGGCCAAUGGGGGGAACCCUGAUCCAGCGACGCCGCGUGAGUGAAGAAGUAUCUCGGUAUGUAAAGCUCUAUCAGCAGGGAAGAAAGAAAUGACGGUACCUGAGUAAGAAGCCCCGGCUAACUACGUGCCAGCAGCCGCGGUAAUACGUAGGGGGCAAGCGUUAUCCGGAAUUACUGGGUGUAAAGGGAGCGUAGACGGUGAAGUAAGUCUGGCGUGAAAGGCGGGGGCCCAACCCCCGGACUGCUCUGGAAACUAUU